Molecule: ribosomal RNA, 681 nt
Filed under: Erwinia sp.
Lineage: Bacteria; Pseudomonadati; Pseudomonadota; Gammaproteobacteria; Enterobacterales; Erwiniaceae
Description: partial 16S ribosomal RNA
Source: RNAcentral
CUAMCAUGCAGUCGGACGGUAGCACAGAGAGCUUGCUCUCGGGUGACGAGUGGCGGACGGGUGAGUMAUGUSUGGGAARCUGCCKGAUGGAGGGGGAUARCUACUGGAAACGGYWGCUAAUACCGCAUAACGUCUUCGGACCRAAGUGGGGGACCUUCGGGCCUCACACCAUCGGAKGUGCCCAGAUGGGAUUAGCUAGUAGGUGGGGUAAUGGCUCACCUAGGCGACGAUCCCUAGCUGGUCUGAGAGGAUGACCAGCCACACUGGAACUGAGACACGGUCCAGACUCCUACGGGAGGCAGCAGUGGGGAAUAUUGCACARUGGGCGCAAGCCUGAUGCAGCCAUGCCGCGUGUAUGAAGAAGGCCUUCGGGUUGUAAAGUACUUUCAGCGGGGAGGAAGGCGAURAGGUUAAUAACCUUGUCGAUUGACGUUACCCGCAGAAGAAGCACCGGCUAACUCCGUGCCAGCAGCCGCGGUAAUACGGAGGGUGCAAGCGUUAAUCGGAAUUACUGGGCGUAAAGCGCACGCAGGCGGUCUGUCAAGUCAGAUGUGAAAUCCCCGGGCUUAACCUGGGAACUGCAUUUGUAACUGWCAGGCUAGAGUCUUGUAKAGCGGGGUAGAAUUCCAWGUGUAGCGGUGCAAUGCGUAGAGAUCUGAGGAGUACCGGUGGCGAAGCGGU